Long non-coding RNA from Passer domesticus (house sparrow), 407 nucleotides. RefSeq lists it as uncharacterized. The record is from RefSeq and is a predicted model, not a curated record. Lineage: Eukaryota; Metazoa; Chordata; Aves; Passeriformes; Passeridae. The transcript is spliced from 3 exons.
CACCACCCUGCAUUAUUGUUCUCUCUCCAGUCCUAAGAGCUCUCUCUGGCAUUUAAACAACAGAUCAAUCACUUCAGCACUUUAGCUCCAGGCUAAGAAAUCCUCCCUGCAAUAUUACAGUGCAGAUGAACACACUGCUCUCUAACAGGACCCAUCUCAUGCAGCUCAAUUUCUGAGCAGCCUUUUGCAGGCUUGUUUGGGACUGCCAUCUCCUUCUGCAAGCAAAAUAGCAACUUCUGUUCAAUCCUGCAUGAAGGAGCUGUCCAGCAGUUCUUUCACACUCCCCAAGGGAAUAAAGGCUAAAGCUGGAAGGAAUUCCACAGACUUGAGCAAUAUAUUGGAAUUAUCUUUUCUGCAAACUGUCCAGUUUGUGUAAACUUCACAUUUUACUCUGAUGUCAUGGGAGA